CAGCAGCCACGGGAAUACGGAGGGGGCUAGCGUUGUUCGGAAUUACUGGGCGUAAAGCGCACGUAGGCGGCUUUGUAAGUCAGAGGUGAAAGCCCGGGGCUCAACCCCGGAAUUGCCUUUGAGACUGCAUCGCUUGAAUCCAGGAGAGGUGAGUGGAAUUCCGAGUGUAGCAGUGAAAUGCGUAGAUAUGCGGAGGAACACCGAUGGCGAAGGCAAUCCCCUGGGCCUGUACUGACGCUCAUGCACGAAAGCGUGGGGAGCAAACAGGAUUAGAUACCCCCGUAGUCCCUGUCUCUUAUAC
RNAcentral lists this ribosomal RNA (301 nucleotides) under uncultured bacterium. RNAcentral's name for it is "partial 16S ribosomal RNA". It matches the Rfam family "Bacterial small subunit ribosomal RNA", at positions 509 to 807 of the family's 1533-position model. The record is from RNAcentral.